Long non-coding RNA from Sinocyclocheilus anshuiensis, 221 nucleotides. RefSeq lists it as uncharacterized. The transcript has 3 exons. NCBI's taxonomy places the organism in Eukaryota, Metazoa, Chordata, Actinopteri, Cypriniformes, Cyprinidae. The record is from RefSeq and is a predicted model, not a curated record.
AAAAGAACAACAUGCGAGUUUGGAGCGACAUGAGAGCCUGUCAGUCAGAGGAGGAUCUCAGGUGCACGCCGGUGUCGCCGUAUCCCACAGAUUCGCUCGAGAGGGCGGGUAGUUGAAGUGUGCCACAAUGGAAAAUGCACUACCCGUGUCUUCAAACAGACUUUAGUGCGCUGGCAGAUUGAACUGAUGUGCAGUUUCCUUUUAAACUUUCUUUUACAAAG